Molecule: transfer RNA, 77 nt
Filed under: Planctomycetota bacterium
Lineage: Bacteria; Pseudomonadati; Planctomycetota
Description: tRNA-Arg
Rfam family: tRNA
About the family: Transfer RNA (tRNA) molecules are approximately 80 nucleotides in length. Their secondary structure includes four short double-helical elements and three loops (D, anti-codon, and T loops).
Source: RNAcentral
GCGCCCGUAGCUCAGCUGGAUAGAGCACCGGACUUCUAAUCCGACGGUCCCAGGUUCGAGUCCUGGCGGGCGCACCA